This 1314-nucleotide ribosomal RNA is filed under the name metagenome. RNAcentral's name for it is "bacterial LSU rRNA". It matches the Rfam family "Bacterial large subunit ribosomal RNA", at positions 1599 to 2925 of the family's 2925-position model. The record is from RNAcentral.
GUCACACUGCCAAGAAAAGCUUCUAGUGAGAAAGUAACUGCCCGUACCGCAAACCGACACAGGUAGUUGAGGAGAGAAUCCUAAGGUGUGCGAGAGAACUCUCGUUAAGGAACUCGGCAAAAUGACCCCGUAACUUCGGGAGAAGGGGUGCUGACCGCAAGGUCAGCCGCAGUGAAUAGGCCCAAGCGACUGUUUAUCAAAAACACAGGUCUCUGCAAAAUCGAAAGAUGACGUAUAGGGGCUGACGCCUGCCCGGUGCUGGAAGGUUAAGAGGAGAGGUUAGCGCAAGCGAAGCUUUGAAUUGAAGCCCCAGUAAACGGCGGCCGUAACAAUAACGGUCCUAAGGUAGCGAAAUUCCUUGUCGGGUAAGUUCCGACCCGCACGAAAGGCGUAACGAUUUGGGCACUGUCUCAACGAGAGACUCGGUGAAAUUAUAGUACCAGUGAAGAUGCUGGUUACCCGCGACAGGACGGAAAGACCCCAUGGAGCUUUACUGCAGUUUGAUAUUGCGUGUUUGUAUCACAUGUACAGGAUAGGUAGGAGCCGAAGAUACCGGGACGCCAGUCUCGGAGGAGGCAACGGUGGGAUACUACCCUUGUGAUAUGACCACUCUAACCCGCUGCUCUUAGCGAGCAGGGAGACAGUGUCAGACGGGCAGUUUGACUGGGGCGGUCGCCUCCAAAAAUGUAACGGAGGCGCCCAAAGGUUCCCUCAGAAUGGUUGGAAAUCAUUCGUAGAGUGUAAAGGCAGAAGGGAGCUUGACUGCGAGACCUACAAGUCGAGCAGGGACGAAAGUCGGGCUUAGUGAUCCGGUGGUUCCGCAUGGAAGGGCCAUCGCUCAACGGAUAAAAGCUACCCUGGGGAUAACAGGCUUAUCUCCCCCAAGAGUUCACAUCGACGGGGAGGUUUGGCACCUCGAUGUCGGCUCAUCGCAUCCUGGGGCUGUAGUCGGUCCCAAGGGUUGGGCUGUUCGCCCAUUAAAGCGGUACGCGAGCUGGGUUCAGAACGUCGUGAGACAGUUCGGUCCCUAUCCGUCGCGGGCGUUGGAAAUUUGAGAGGAGCUGUCCUUAGUACGAGAGGACCGGGAUGGACACUCCGCUGGUGUACCAGUUGUUCUGCCAAGAGCAUCGCUGGGUAGCUAUGUGUGGACGGGAUAAACGCUGAAAGCAUCUAAGCGUGAAGCCCCCCUCAAGAUGAGAUUUCCCAUCACUUUAAGUGAGUAAGACCCCUGAGAGAUGAUCAGGUAGAUAGGUUGGGAGUGGAAGUACAGCGAUGUAUGGAGCGGACCAAUACUAAUCGGUCGAGGACUUAACC